CCUACGGGAGGCAGCAGUGGGGAAUAUUGCACAAUGGGGGAAACCCUGAUCCAGCAACGCCGCGUGAGUGAAGAAGGAUUUCGGUAUGUAAAGCUUUAUCAGCAGGGAAGUAAAUGACGGUAUCUGAGUAAUAAGCCCCGGCUAACUACGUGCCAGCAGCCGCGGUACUACGUAGGGGGCAAGCGUUAUCCGGAUUUACUGGGUGUAAAGGGAGCUCAGACGGUGAGACAAGUCUGUAGUGAAAUCCUGCGGCUCAACCGUGAAAUUGCUUUUGAAACUGCCUGACUGGAGUGCUGGAGAGGUAAGCGGAAUUCGUAGUGUAGCGGUGAAAUGCUUAGAUAUUAGGAAGAACUCCAGUGGCGAAGGCAGCUUGCUGGACAGCAACUGACGUUGAGGCUCGAAAGUGUGGGUAGCAAACAGGAUUAGAUACCCCUGUAGUC
Molecule: ribosomal RNA, 440 nt
Filed under: uncultured bacterium
Lineage: Bacteria
Description: partial 16S ribosomal RNA
Rfam family: Bacterial small subunit ribosomal RNA
Source: RNAcentral